Molecule: ribosomal RNA, 404 nt
Filed under: uncultured prokaryote
Description: bacterial SSU rRNA
Rfam family: Bacterial small subunit ribosomal RNA
Source: RNAcentral
UGGGGAAUCAUAGUCGAUGGGCGAAAGCCUGAACCUGCGACGCCGCGUGAGUGAUGAAGGCCUUAGGGUCGUAAACCUCUGUUGUGUGGGAAGAAGAGCGUGACGGUACCACACGAGGAAGUCCCGGCUAACUACGUGCCAGCAGCCGCGGUAAUACGCAGGGGACGAGCGUUGUCCGGAUUUACUGGGCGUAAAGGGCGCGUAGGCGGUCAUUUAAGUCAGCUGUGAAAUGGUUUGGCCUAACCGGAUCAUGCGGUUGAAACUGGAUGACUGGAGUGCUGGAGAGGCAAGUGGAAUUCCCAGUGUAGCGGUGAAAUGCGUAGAUAUUGGGAAGAACACCGGUGGCGAAGGCGACUUGCUGGCCAGCAACUGACGCUGAGGCGCGAAAGCCAGGGGAGCAAACG